This 492-nucleotide ribosomal RNA is filed under the name uncultured bacterium. RNAcentral's name for it is "partial 16S ribosomal RNA". It matches the Rfam family "Bacterial small subunit ribosomal RNA", at positions 28 to 507 of the family's 1533-position model. The record is from RNAcentral.
GAUGAACGCUCGCUACAGGCUUAACACAUGCAAGUCGAGGGGAAACGACAUCGAAAGCUUGCUUUUGAUGGGCGUCGACCGGCGCACGGGUGAGUAACGCGUAUCCAACCUGCCCAUCACUUGGGAAUAACCUUGCGAAAGUAAGACUAAUACCCAAUGAUAUCCCACGAAGGCAUCGGAAUGGGAUUAAAGAUUUAUCGGUGAUGGAUGGGGAUGCGUCUGAUUAGCUUGUUGGCGGGGUAACGGCCCACCAAGGCAACGAUCAGUAGGGGUUCUGAGAGGAAGGUCCCCCACAUUGGAGCUGAGACACGGUCCAAACUCCUACGGGAGGCAGCAGUGAGGAAUAUUGGUCAAUGGGCGAGAGCCUGAACCAGCCAAGUAGCGUGCAGGAAGACGGCCCUAUGGGUGGUAAACUGCUUUUAGAAGGGAAUAAAGUGGGUCACGUGUGACUUUUUGCAUGUACCUUAUGAAUAAGGACCGGCUAAUUCCGUG